RNAcentral lists this ribosomal RNA (273 nucleotides) under uncultured bacterium. RNAcentral describes it as "partial 16S ribosomal RNA". It matches the Rfam family "Bacterial small subunit ribosomal RNA", at positions 524 to 796 of the family's 1533-position model. The record is from RNAcentral.
UACGUAGGGUGCAAGCGUUAAUCGGAAUUACUGGGCGUAAAGCGUGCGCAGGCGGCUAUGUAAGACAGAUGUGAAAUCCCCGGGCUCAACCUGGGAAUUGCAUUUGUGACUGCAUGGCUAGAGUGUGUCAGAGGGAGGUGGAAUUCCACGUGUAGCAGUGAAAUGCGUAGAUAUGUGGAGGAACACCAAUGGCGAAGGCAGCCUCCUGGGAUAACACUGACGCUCAUGCACGAAAGCGUGGGGAGCAAACAGGAUUAGAUACCCCGGUAGUCC